Molecule: non-coding RNA, 8436 nt
Organism: Equus caballus (horse)
Lineage: Eukaryota; Metazoa; Chordata; Mammalia; Perissodactyla; Equidae
Source: RefSeq, a predicted model, not a curated record
GCGGGGUAUGAGCCGCGCGAGCCGCCGUAGUCAGCUGCUGCGAGCAGGAAGUGUCCGAGGAGCGGGUGGAGACUGCAGGAUGGCCCCGGACCCCUGGUUCUCCACCUACGAUUCUACUUGCCAAAUUGCACAAGAGAUUGCUGAGAAAAUUCAACAGAGAAAUCAGUAUGAAAGAAAUGGUGAAAACACAACGAAGCUUACCGUGACAAUCAGAGCUUUGUUGCAGAAUCUGAAGGAAAAGAUCGCCCUUUUGAAGGACUUAUUGCUAAGAGCUGUGUCAACACGUCAGAUAACACAGCUUGAAGGAGACCGAAGACAGAACCUGUUGGAUGACCUUGUAACUCGAGAGAGACUACUUCUGGCAUCCUUUAAGAACGAGGGUGCAGAACCAGAUCUCAUCAGGUCCAGCCUGAUGACUGGAGGGGCUAAGCGAGGAGUACCCAACCCUUGGCUCUUCGAGGAGCCAGAGGAGACCAGAGGCCUGGGUUUUGAUGAAAUCCGGCAGCAGCAGCAGAAAAUCAUCCAAGAACAGGACGCGGGCCUUGAUGCCCUUUCCUCCAUCAUAAGUCGCCAGAAACAGAUGGGGCAGGAAAUUGGGAAUGAGCUGGAUGAACAAAAUGAAAUAAUUGAUGACCUUGCCAACCUGGUGGAGAAUACAGAUGAGAAACUCCGCACUGAGACCAGGCGUGUCAAUAUGGUGGACAGAAAGUCAACAUCUUGCGCUUCUCUCACCUGGUGUCCACUUGGCUGUGCUCUGCUUGCCUUUGACUUCAGCCAGCGUCUCGCCCAGCACAGCUGCCCUUCCUGUGGCUAAUCACCGAAACGGAUGCUGCCAGAUGUUCCACUCUGAACUUCCAGCCUCGCCUGGACGCCCGUCAUCUCCGCGGGGCCUCGGCUAGAGCUGGGCUCUCCGUUUCUAAACUAAAUGCCACCCAGGUGUUCCUCUGGUUUUGCACCUCUUCCUUCUCUUGUGGAGUGAAUGAUGUUUCAUUUCUGUUGUUCAACUGAGAGGCCAGCUCUCUCACAGGAUGCUUAUGGCGCAUCUGCUGUACACAAGGCACCAUUCUUAGGCAGAGGGUUAUAUAAGGAGCAAAAAUUAUUGUCAUCAUAGCUGCCAUUUAGGGAGUGCCAGGUAUGUUCUAGAAGUUUUAUGCACUUCAUCUUACUGAAUCCUCACAGCAAGCCUAUGAAAUCGGAAUUGGCAGGUUUGAAGUCAAGUGUCCCUGACCCCCCAAACCAGCGCCCUGCCACCACGUCAGACUCUGUGGUCCCUGUUGUCGGAAAUCCUGUGACUUAAGGAAAGAAAUAGUAAUAAAUAAGAGAAGAAUUGACAGAUGAAGGACAGUCGUUUGAGAGCAUUGACCUGGCUGUAGAUGCUUCUCGGACUCCAGGGGACGCGCGGUCUGGUGGACUGAGCAGUCUUCCUGGAGGAGGUGGAGGCCCGGCCGAGCAGUCAGCAGCUGGGUCCUGGGGUCGGGUGAGGAAGGGACGAGGGUGUAAGCAGGCGGGGAGAGAGGCUGGAAGGUCUGUUGAGGAGGCCGGGGAGCCCGCUGGCACUGCAGAGGGAGGUUCACCCACCAACAGGGCCACGAGAGCCUGGAGGGACGGGCUGAUGCCUGAGGAGAGCAGACCGAACUCAGCACAUCAGUGAAGACUUUGGCUUUGCUCAGUGUGUGAAGGAGAGCACAGGGCGGGGAGAGUGAAAUGUGGGACCGUGGGGGACAGAGGUUCAAGAGGGGAGAGGGCAGAGGCCGUAGGCGCCCUCUCCCACCACCCCCACCACUCGGGCAGACCCAAGCCCCCAGGACGGCCUCCCCUACCUGCUGAGCUUCUGGGCUGGUUGGAAGAGGGCAGCCCCCACCCACACGCUGCGGCCACGAGCAGGGCACACAGGGCAGCCUAGGCCGAGGGGUGACCUCCAGGGCACCCGCAGCUCCCCAGCCGUUCAGUCUGAGAUCACAAUGUCAAUAAGUUCACCUUCUCUGCGUGGCAGCUCCCCUUUUCUUAGCUUAUUUGCCCAGUAAUGGGAUUAAAGGGAACAUUUACAUGAACUUUUGAAAACAAAUAUUCCGGUUUUGUCUUUUCUCUUGCUUAUUCCCCACCUCAGCUCAGGAGUCUGCUGCGAAAAUUCUGUUUGAUUAGUGAGAACCAACUGGCUAAUACAUAAGCAAAUGUCACCCACUGAUGGGCUGGAGAAAAGCCCCCAGACCUGCAGCCUUUCGUAAAUGUCCUCUGGAUCUUUCGAGGUUGUUAGCUGUGGAAGGGGUGUUUCUUAGCCCUAACUCUUCCAGGGUGAAGAACAAGGCAGAGAGUAAGGGAUUAUAUAUUUUGGUUUAAAACAACCAACAAUAACAGGCAGCCAGUGUGGCUUUCCUGUGAUAAACAAAACCAAAUAAAAGGACUUCCAGAUAAAAUUGCCCUUCAUAUCCCCCUGCCUCCUGCCCCCUCACUGCUCCGUGCCCCCUGCUCUCCCACCAUGCUUGUCUCCACCUUUCCCCGCAGCUGGGGGGAGAGGGCAGGUCCGGGGGUCUGCGCUCCCUCUCACGGACUCCGCACUCUCCUCGUCCCCCUCCUUGUCAGCAAGAGCUCGGUGCUGUUACCUGGCUCAGCUGUGGCAGGGGUGUUGGCAGCACAGCCUCCGUAAUUUGCAGGUUUCCAGUGUUUCACUGGAAAAAAACAUGGACCAUUAAUCCAGAUGAACAAUCUUCAGAAAACACAACACUGUUCUGAGAGGCCGUGUUUCAUAUCCUUUCCCAGUUUGAAAAGGAGUUUGUUUUCUUACAUCUUUUUUUAAUUGCCAUGAGCUGGACUUGUAAAUAUUGUAAGUGGGUGAGUAAUACUCAUCUGGUAAACUGACCAAAGGAAAUGGACCUUUUUUUCCACUCUUGUAACUCUGGCAUCCCCUGCCUGCCCUGAAAGGGGCACUGGGCACUGGGAGGAAACGGCCUUGCCAGGUGCCAGCAGUGCCAGGCGCGGAGCCGAGUGAGGCGCGGAGGAAAUGAUCCCGUUGUCAGGAGCCGCGCCAGGUGUUUUUGCGCUAGGGUUGGGGGCAAAGAGCAUUCAUUGUUUAAGAAGUUGGCAGGUCCCCAGAAGUUCAACUGUCUUUCCUCGUUCUGAAAUGUCAAACAUUUCCUCAGCUGGGGGAUGGAUGACUAGCCCCCCUGAGGUUGGAGCACUACUCUGAGGCAAGAGAAAGAGGUUCUCUCUCACACGUGCCUGAACACUGUGCAGAUUCUCCCCGUGGCCAUCCGGCGGGAUGGUCUCCUGCGUCCUCUAGCUGGGACCACUUUCCUGCAUCUGGAGUGUCGGAGGGUCUUUACUGCCCCCGUCUUUAAGAAAUAGCACAGCUUCUGUGUGGUGGUGGGCUUUUUUUAAUGAUGCCUUAUCUUUUAGUGAUACUUACUGAAGUAUUUGCAGAUGAAAUAUGUCUGGGAUUCAUUUCAAAAUAAUACACUGGGGACAGGGAGCAGGUGAGGGUAGCGAUAAAAGCAGGUUAGCCAUGAAUCGAUCCUUGUUAAAGCUGAGUGAUGGGUUCAUUGCAGGUCACUACAGUAUUUUGUCUACUGUUGUAUUUGUUUAAAUUUUUCCACCAUAAAAAGGUAAAAGAAGGAGAAAGGGAGGAGAAGAAGAAAAAAAGAGAGAAGAAGCUCUUUAUCCCAGUUUUUUAGCCCAAAGUCUGGGCCUUUCUCCCUGAUAAACCCCACGCUGUCAGGAGUCAGGAUCCCCCCAGACGGGCCCCCUGGUGCAGAGGGAGGUUGAGUCUGGGCCAAGGGGUUGGUCCCACCUGGAUUCCAUUUCCAGCUCUUCCUCUUACCAGUCGUAGGGCUUCGGGAAGAGAGUCAGCCUUCGGGACCCUCAGCUUCUUUGUCGAUGAAGUGGAGUCGAGAGUUCUCUAUAGCUGAGAAUUAAGCGAGGCGAUUCACCCACUGCAGUCAGUACAGAACCUGGCGUGCGUGAAUGUUCCAUGUAUGGCAUGGCUUAGCUCCCUUGCUUUAAAAAGGCCCUUGGUUACUCUUUCCACAAUGUCCUUCAGAGGAGAGAAGGAUGCCAGCGCUGCCAUCACAUUCCAGGAAAGCCGGGCUUCGUAAAGAGAAAGGCUCACAGCGAUAAGCAGCAAAUACCUUCUCUUUGACGAAAAGAGUCCAAAAGGCUGCAGCUGGCUCUUGCUUAUCACCGUCACUUGCCAUCUUAAAAUGACUUCCUUGCUUGACCCUUAGGUGCACACCAGUUUACUUAAACCUGUUGAAAAUUUCCUCCCCAUAGGAACCCUGUUUGAAAUGUAAAAGUCUUACUUGUCGUUGCUCUCGACGUACCCCUUUUCAUCUUUGGACAAGCACCCAGUUUAUCACAUAUUAUCGAGUUAGUACCUGUGCUGUCAGGAGCUGAAGUGCAUCUGCGUCUUUCACGGGUAUUGCGUACCCUGUCAUUCCUUUACUAUGGCCCAAUUUGUAUAAUUCAGUUUCUGUAGUAGAAUGAUUAGCAGCUUAAAGAGGAACCAGGUAUUAAUACAGUCCCAACAGGCACCCCCGCCCUUCUGCGGACACAGUAAAGGUCUCCAGAGCCAGGAGCUUCUCCCUGUCCUCCUGGUGCCUCCCAGUGUUUGUAGACUACUGUUAACCACCUUUUGAAUUUUCUCUUUUCUUGGCAUCCUUGACACAUUUUCUCAGCUUCUCUCUCCCUGUUGACUGUUCCUUCUGUUUCUUUUGUAUUGGCUCUUCUUGUCCCUCCCGGACAUUCAAUACAUUUAUUCAUUUAUAUACAAAAGGAUGUGUUGUGCCUCUUUUGUGAGCAGGCUCUGGUCCAGGUACCAGGGACAUGGUGGGGAACGAGGCAGGCAGAGUCCGUAUCGUAGGUGCUCAUGUGCCAGGGCGGAGACAGAGGGUAACUAGCUGAGGACCUAAAUCAUGAUUUAAGAAGGGUCACUACAGAGACCCAGAGGGGACAGUGAGAGCACAGUCAAUCUGAGGUCAAGAAGGAAGUGACACAUGCUGAGUUUUGGAGGGCGAGUAGGGAUUAACUAGGCCAAGAGCGGGCAGUGCUCUCCGGGCAGAGAAAGGACAGCAUGUGUAAAGGCCAGGAGGCAGGAAGGAGCGGGGAUUGUUGGAGGAACCAAAGGCCAGGAUGGCUGGAGCACAGGUCCAGAGUGUGGCUUCAGGGGCAGGGGCCAGACUGCACAGAACCUUCUAGGCCACCAUGAAGAGUUCGGGUUUCACUUUAAGCCAUCAGACAGCUUUAAGCCCAGAAGUAACCUGAUCUGCUUUCCAGUCCAGCUCAGUUGUGGAGAGUGGAUUGGGUAAAGUGAGCAGCAGGUCACUCCAGCACAGUGGCCCAAGGAGGAGAUGGUGGUAACUACUGACACCUUGAGGCGUCUUCCCUUGGACUGCAAGCUUCGUGUAAAUAAACUAAACCCGGAUGGCUGGUUUCUUCUUCCCAGCCGGUUAUUGUUCCUGAUUUCUUUGUUCUCAUCCUUGUUCUGCUCUUCUCACAAUCGCCCUGAUUUGAAAAUUCAAGGUCACUUAUUGGCCUCUCCUUUGGGCCAUUGCAGCCUCGGUCUGAAACGCUUGCUGCACAAGGAGCCUCUUGGUCUCAAGUGCUCUCCCAGCUCUGAUCCCGCCUGAGCAUCCGUGAGAGUACUUCCUGAAACACCGCUCAUCAUCUGCCUUCGCUCCUCAGAAACAGCUCCUCCCCGUCUCUCGGGUCAGCCGAGGCUCCGGCCUGGCAGUUGCCCGCGUGCUCUGCCUCAGUCUGUCCGCUUCCUCCAUUGCCAUUAUAUUUCCUGAUAUUGCACAAGGUAAACCUCUCACCCCAGCCAGGAAGUAGUGGGAUUCCUGCCCAGCUGGAGCUUUUGGUCAACCUGAAGAUGCUUCUGGAGGCAGAAAUGAAUAAAAAGGAGAUCUGUUUUCUGGUUCUGGCAAGAAGAUGGACAGAGAUGAUAUUCACUCACACACACCUUAUGACGAGCAUCUCGAAAUGCUAGAUCAAAUGUUACAAAACCCCCUGAAUGUUAAUGCAGAGCUGAGUUUACAAGGAAGAAAGGAAAUCCCCAGAUGAAAGAAAUGGAGAGAGAACUGGCAACCAGAACCUAAGCAAACGAACGGAUGCGGCUGCUGGGGCGUUAUCAGCCGUAGUGAUGUCGAGCAGGGUGGGCAAAAUCCCGUGAAAGGGCCAGACAGGAAAUAGGUUAGGCGUUGCAGACCACAGACGGUGUGUCACAUCUUCUUCUUUUUUGACAACACUGAAAAUAUAAAACACGCUUCUUGGCUCAUGGGUUGUACAAAAAACAGACCACCAGCCAGACUGGGCCUGUGGGCCAGAGUUUGCCCACUCCUGAAGUAGAGCUUGGGUUUAUGUCCACAUGUAGACAGGAGGAAAAAAUCUUAGGUCCCUGAGAGGGGACACUCUCGAAAGAUUGGAUCAUCAGAGAAAGAGGGGGUAUUAGAAAAACUUCACCCACUGUCACAGGGAGAUGACAAAGAAGGUUCCUCAGUAUCUAAAACCAUGGACAGGGUGUGUUUACAUGGGUUGGGUUUAAAAUUUACACUACCUGAAUGAUAUUGAACCCUGGAGAUCUGUGGCUAGAAUUUAGGGAACUUGGAUGGGAAAGCAAAUUGCAUUCUUAUUUUCACUAACCUCUAAUUGAGAUUUAGCGUUUUCUUCAAUUAAGAAAGUAGGCAACAAGCCACAGCGGUAUUGCUCGUACUUGUGACUGUCACCAAUGGAAAUCACAGAUAUAUUCACAUCAAAGUAUAGUGCCUGUAUUAUCUCAGAACUUAAAAAAUAUGUAUUUUGAUAAGCAUACUUCAAUAUAAAUUGGAAAUUUUAAAACAUCUAAAUAAUUAUGGGGACAAAGAAGAAAUUGAUGAACAUUUUUAAAUAUUUAGAAUUUAGAAACUAACAACAAUGAAAUUAUUUCCUAUCAAAACUUGUAGCUUUAGAAGGGUGAUAUUUAGAAGAAAGAUGGAAAAUGAAUGAGCUAACUUUCAAUUCAAGAAGUUAGAGAAAGAACAAGAAAGUAUAUCCAAAGAAAGUCUAUGAAUAGUAUGAUUAAUAAAAAUGUGAAAAUUAAUAAACAGAUGAUCAACAAAGUCAAAACUUGUUCAUGGAAAAGAUUAAUAAAAAGAGGCACACUUGUGGCAAAGCUAGUCAAGAAGAAGAAUGCACAACUAAGUGGCGUUAGCAAUGAAAAGGACACAGAUACAGCAUAGUGUUUAAAUUAUGAGAGAAUAUAAUGAACAGUUUUAUGCCAAUACUUUUGAAUACUCAAAAAAUGGGCAGUUUCCCAGCAAAAUGUAACUUAACAAAACCAACUCAAGAAGAAGGGAAAGCAGAAUUCUUGCUGUGGGAAGCUAUCCAAGUGUAGAGUGAGUGUUGAAAAGACAUUGAACAGCCAUUCAUUCAUUUAUUCAACAAAUAUGUAUUGAGUCUCCACGCCAGGCACUGUCACAGAAGCGGGGGAUGCAGCGGUUAAUAAAAUUAUCGAAACUCCAUACUCUGUGUCACUUCUGUCCAAUGGAACUUUCUAUGAUGAUGGAAAUGUUCUUUAUUGUCUCCAUCCAAUAUGGUAGCCAUUGGCCACAUGUGGCUUUUAAGCACUUGAAAUAUGGUUAGUGCAAGUGAGAAACGGAAUUUUUGACUUUAAUUUUAAUUAAUUGAAAUUUAAAUAGCCUAUCAUGGCCAGCGGUUAUCUAGCUAAUAAGAUCAAUAAUAUGUUAAUGGCUUCCUGUAAGAGAAUAAGUUGGUGAACUCCUGGGACUCUGACUUUUCCUCAAACGGGUCCUCAGUCUGAGGAGGGUAGUCCUCGUGGCCAAACCACCACAGCAUCCUGUGCGUCUGACUCACUUGUUACUUUGGAGGGCAUUUUCACAGGCUUCAUCUCAUCUGCUCCUCACUUCCCUCUCGGGCCUCAGUAGCUCGGGGACCUUGAGUGAGCAAAGGUUUAUUGAGUGCUUCCUUCGUAGCGGCGGUCCGACGGCCAUGGUGAGUGCUCUUUACAUCCGGGUAAGUGGACUAGGAGGCGGUGAACUCGCUGAGUGACGGCCGCCUCGUCAGCGUCAGUGGAAGGAAAGGGCAGCAAUAAGGGAGAUGCGGGAGCUCGGAGGUGGGGCGGGUUGGCCGCAGAGCUGGACGCAGGGAGCAGACCGGCUGCGAGGGCUAGUGCUCUCCUUUGUGUUCCCCAGCCAAGAAUCUGAAGACAUAAAACUCGAAAAUAGUGGUACAAAAACUAUAUAUGAAGAGAAAGUCCCUCUAUUGGCUGUUUGUACAGGGAUGAUUCUGGUGAUUUUAUUGCUGCUCGUGGCUAUUGUGGUCGUCGCAGUCUGGCCUACCAAGUAGUGGCGAUAAAGGGACCCCCAGCCGUGCCCUGCCAAGGAUGGAGAAAGUUCAGUGCCCUUUUGGUACACGAAAGCUGCUCUCAAUAAAUUCCUGCAAAGCUCUGAA